ACGUACACUCCUACGGGAGGCAGCAGUGGGGAAUUUUGGACAAUGGGCGAAAGCCUGAUCCAGCCAUGCCGCGUGCAGGAUGAAGGCCUUCGGGUUGUAAACUGCUUUUGUACGGAACGAAACGGCCUUUUCUAAUAAAGAGGGCUAAUGACGGUACCGUAAGAAUAAGCACCGGCUAACUACGUGCCAGCAGCCGAGGUAAUACGUAGGGUGCAAGCGUUAAUCGGAAUUACUGGGCGUAAAGCGUGCGCAGGCGGUUAUGUAAGACAGUUGUGAAAUCCCCGGGCUCAACCUGGGAACUGCAUCUGGGACUGCAUAGCUAGAGUACGGUAGAGGGGGAUGGAAUUCCGCGUGUAGCAGUGAAAUGCGUAGAUAUGCGGAGGAACACCGAUGGCGAAGGCAAUCCCCUGGACCUGUACUGACGCUCAUGCACGAAAGCGUGGGGAGCAAACAGGAUUAGAUACCCCAGUAGUCCCAUGA
Molecule: ribosomal RNA, 480 nt
Filed under: uncultured organism
Description: partial 16S ribosomal RNA
Rfam family: Bacterial small subunit ribosomal RNA
Source: RNAcentral